Galleria mellonella (greater wax moth) is the source of this 428-nucleotide long non-coding RNA. RefSeq lists it as uncharacterized. Lineage: Eukaryota; Metazoa; Arthropoda; Insecta; Lepidoptera; Pyralidae. The record is from RefSeq and is a predicted model, not a curated record. The transcript is spliced from 3 exons.
ACAUACGUCUCAUUCAGUCGAGCUACACCCUCGCUUACUUUAUUCCACCCCAGCGCCGCGACCCUCUGAAUAAAAUCAGUUCGUGUACAACCAGCCUAGGGGGCGUCCGUGUCGGCUAGUUUCCCCAGUAAAAGCACGCGAUCUCUGCAAACUAGUGCAAUAUUUAAAACAAUUCGAAUUUCAAACAUUGUGUUCCGCUUGUUACCAUUAUGAACUUUUCUUACUAUGUUUAGUGUUCCCUUUUAGCCGUGUUGUCGUUGCGUUGUUUCCUUGAUUUGUUUUAACCUAGUGCCUGUGUAAAUGUUUGGUGGACGCCGGACGGCAUUUGGCUAACUUACGUUCCAUCUACUGUAUUUAACAUCGGGCAGGGAGAUAACAACGUUCCAGUCUCGGUGAGUGUCCAAUAUGUUAUGUUAAUAAUAAACUUU